UACGUCUCACGUAACUGGCGAAAAGCGGAUGCGGCGCGCUGGGCGCGACAUCGGCGAAAGGUGGACAUCCACCGGGGAACGUGAGAAUUUCAACAGCCGUUCGCCUGGGCAGCCUAU
RNAcentral lists this non-coding RNA (117 nucleotides) under Massilia sp. NR 4-1. Its description in RNAcentral is "ZMP/ZTP riboswitch aptamer (pfl RNA motif)". It matches the Rfam family "ZMP/ZTP riboswitch aptamer (pfl RNA motif)". Rfam says of the family: Previously known as pfl RNA. ZMP is also known as AICAR. The record is from Rfam by way of RNAcentral. RNAcentral also lists the same sequence under 1 other name. Lineage: Bacteria; Pseudomonadati; Pseudomonadota; Betaproteobacteria; Burkholderiales; Oxalobacteraceae.